This 784-nucleotide ribosomal RNA is filed under the name uncultured bacterium. RNAcentral describes it as "bacterial SSU rRNA". It matches the Rfam family "Bacterial small subunit ribosomal RNA", at positions 1 to 775 of the family's 1533-position model. The record is from RNAcentral.
UAGAGCUUGAUCCUGGCUCAGAUUGAACGCUGGCGGCAGGCCUAACACAUGCAAGUCGAGCGGCAGCGGGAAAGUAUCUUGCUACUUUUGCCGGCGAGCGGCGGACGGGUGAGUAAUGCCUGGGGAUCUGCCCAAUCGAGGGGGAUAGUUUCUGAAAACCGUUAGCUAAUACCCGCAUUCCCCCUACGGGGGAAAGCAGGGGACCUUCGGGCCUUGCGCGAUUGGAUGAACGCAGGUGGGAUUAGGUAGUUGGUGAGGUAAGGGCUCACCAAGGCGACGAUCCCUAGCUGGUCUGCGAGGAUGAUCAGCCACACUGGAACUGAGACACGGUCCAGACUCCUACGGGAGGCACCAGUGGGGAAUAUUGCACAAUGGGGGCAACCCUGAUGCAGCCACGCCGCGUGCGUGAAGAAGGCCUUCGGGUUGUAAAGCACUUUCAGCGAGGAGGAAAGGUUGGUAGCGAAUACCUGCCAGCUGUGACGUUACUCGCAGAAGAAGCACCGGCUAACUCCGUGCCAGCAGCCGCGGUAAUACGGAGGGUGCAAGCGUUAAUUGGAAUUACUGGGCGUAAAGCGCACGCAGGCGGUUCGAUAAGUUCGAUGUGAAAGCCCCGGGCUCAACCUGGGAAUUGCAUUUAAAUCUGUCCGGUUAGAGUUCUUGUAGAGGGGGGUAGAAUUUCAGGUGUAGCGGUGAAAUGUGUAGAGAUCUGGAGGAAUACCGGUGGCGAAGGCGGCCCCCUGGACAAAGACUGACGCUCAGGUGCGAAAGCGUGGGGAGCAAACAG